GAUGAACGCUAGCGAUAGGCUUAACACAUGCAAGUCGAGGGGCAGCAUGAUCUUAGCUUGCUAAGGUUGAUGGCGACCGGCGCACGGGUGCGUAACGCGUAUGCAACUUGCCUUACAGAGGGGGAUAACCCGUUGAAAGACGGACUAAAACCGCAUACACUUGUAUUAUUGCAUGAUAUUACAAGGAAAUAUUUAUAGCUGUAAGAUAGGCAUGCGUCCCAUUAGCUGGUUGGUGAGGUAACGGCUCACCAAGGCGACGAUGGGUAGGGGAACUGAGAGGUUUAUCCCCCACACUGGUACUGAGACACGGACCAGACUCCUACGGGAGGCAGCAGUGAGGAAUAUUGGUCAAUGGGCGAGAGCCUGAACCAGCCAAGUCGCGUGAAGGAAGACAGUCCUAAGGAUUGUAAACUUCUUUUAUACGGGAAUAACGGGCGAUACGAGUAUUGCAUUGAAUGUACCGUAAGAAUAAGCAUCGGCUAACUCCGUGCCAGCAGCCGCGGUAAUACGGAGGAUGCGAGCGUUACCCGGAUUUAUUGGGUUUAAAGGGUGCGUAGGUUGUUCGGUAAGUCAGCGGUGAAACCUGAACGCUCAACGUUCAGCCUGCCGUUGAAACUGCCGGGCUUGAGUUCAGUGGCGGCAGGCGGAAUUCGUGGUGUAGCGGUGAAAUGCAUAGAUAUCACGAGGAACUCCGAUUGCGAAGGCAGCUUGCCAUACUGCGACUGACACUGAAGCACGAAGGCGUGGGUAUCAAACAGGAUUAGAUACCCUGGUGGUCCACGCAGUAAACGAUGAUUACUAGGAGUUUGCGAUAUACCGUCAAGCUUCCACAGCGAAAGCGUUAAGUAAUCCACCUGGGGAGUACGCCGGCAACGGUGAAACUCAAAGGAAUUGACGGGGGCCCGCACAAGCGGAGGAACAUGUGGUUUAAUUCGAUGAUACGCGAGGAACCUUACCCGGGAUUGAAAUGUAGAUGACGGAUGGUGAAAACCGUCUUCCCUUCGGGGCUUCUAUGUAGGUGCUGCAUGGUUGUCGUCAGCUCGUGCCGUGAGGUGUCGGCUUAAGUGCCAUAACGAGCGCAACCCACAUCGGUAGUUGCUAACAGUUUUCGCUGAGGACUCUACCGAGACUGCCGUCGUAAGGCGUGAGGAAGGUGUGGAUGACGUCAAAUCAGCACGGCCCUUACAUCCGGGGCGACACACGUGUUACAAUGGGAGGGACAAAGGGCAGCUACCGGGCGACCGGAUGCGAAUCUCUAAACCCUUCCCCAGUUCGGAUCGGAGUCUGCAACUCGACUCCGUGAAGCUGGAUUCGCUAGUAAUCGCGCAUCGGCCAUGGCGCGGUGAAUACGUUCCCGGGCCU
Molecule: ribosomal RNA, 1362 nt
Filed under: uncultured bacterium
Lineage: Bacteria
Description: bacterial SSU rRNA
Rfam family: Bacterial small subunit ribosomal RNA
Source: RNAcentral